Molecule: transfer RNA, 74 nt
Filed under: Candidatus Pacearchaeota archaeon
Lineage: Archaea; Nanobdellati
Description: tRNA-Pro
Rfam family: tRNA
About the family: Transfer RNA (tRNA) molecules are approximately 80 nucleotides in length. Their secondary structure includes four short double-helical elements and three loops (D, anti-codon, and T loops).
Source: RNAcentral
GGGGCUGUGGGCCAGCCUGGUUAAGCUCCCACCUUUGGGAGGUGGUGACCCCAGUUCAAAUCUGGGCAGCCCCA